RNAcentral lists this transfer RNA (66 nucleotides) under Aquatica lateralis (Japanese firefly). RNAcentral's name for it is "tRNA-Ala". The record is from RNAcentral. Lineage: Eukaryota; Metazoa; Arthropoda; Insecta; Coleoptera; Lampyridae.
UAGGAUAAUAGUUAAAAUUAACAUUUAAUUUGCACUUAAAAAAUAUUGAUCAUCAAUUUAUCUUAA